UGAGGGAUAUUGGACAAUGGAUGGAAAUCUGAUCCAGCCAUGCCGCGUGCAGGAAGACGGCCCUAUGGGUUGUAAACUGCUUUUAUACGGGAGCAAUAAGGUCUACGCGUAGACUGAUGAGAGUACCGUAUGAAUAAGCAUCGGCUAACUCCGUGCCAGCAGCCGCGGUAAUACGGAGGAUGCGAGCGUUAUCCGGAUUUAUUGGGUUUAAAGGGUGCGUAGGCGGCUUUGUAAGUCAGCGGUGAAAUUUUGCAGCUUAACUGUAACAGUGCCGUUGAUACUGUGAGGCUAGGAUUUGGUUGCUGUGGUGGAAUGUGUGGUGUAGCGGUGAAAUGCUUAGAGAUCACACAGAAUAUCGAUUGCGAAGGCAGCUCACAAAGCCAAGAUUGACGCUGAGGCACG
RNAcentral lists this ribosomal RNA (402 nucleotides) under uncultured bacterium. RNAcentral describes it as "bacterial SSU rRNA". It matches the Rfam family "Bacterial small subunit ribosomal RNA", at positions 355 to 755 of the family's 1533-position model. The record is from RNAcentral.